UUUGAAUGCAAUGUGAAUAAUAAAAUGUUUAACUAUUUCACUUCUGUGUUUUUUGUUUUGUUUUGCUUUGUUUUUAGCAUUUGAGGUUGGAAUAAUGCUGAAGACCUAAAUUCCACAUUACUUCAGAAGAUGAGGAGGACUGGGAAGUGAGCUGUGUUUUCCAAGCUGAAGUUUCAUCUACAGACAGAACACUGGUAGUGCUAUGGAAACAAGGUUGAAAGGAGCUGUUUUGAUUCAAAGUUGACAAAACCACCCCAGAAAUAUAAAAAAGAAGGAAAGAAAAAAAGAAAUAA
RNAcentral lists this long non-coding RNA (293 nucleotides) under Coturnix japonica (Japanese quail). RNAcentral's name for it is "lncRNA (ENSCJPG00005002530.1)". The record is from RNAcentral. Lineage: Eukaryota; Metazoa; Chordata; Aves; Galliformes; Phasianidae.